RNAcentral lists this ribosomal RNA (421 nucleotides) under uncultured bacterium. RNAcentral's name for it is "bacterial SSU rRNA". It matches the Rfam family "Bacterial small subunit ribosomal RNA", at positions 355 to 786 of the family's 1533-position model. The record is from RNAcentral.
UGGGGAAUAUUGGGCAAUGGGCGAAAGCCUGACCCAGCAACGCCGCGUGAGGGAAGAAGGGUUUCGGCUCGUAAACCUCUGUCCUAUGGGACGAAGGAAGUGACGGUACCAUAGGAGGAAGCCCCGGCUAACUACGUGCCAGCAGCCGCGGUAAUACGUAGUGGGGCGAGUCGUUCGUCCAGGAAUGAUUGGGCGUAAAGGGCGCGUAGGCGGCCUGUUAAGUCUGGAGUGAAAGUCCUGCUUUCAAGGUGGGAAUUGCUUUGGAUACUGAUGGGCUGGAGUGCAGGAGAGGAAAGCGGAAUUACCGGUGUAGCGGUGAAAUGCGUAGAGAUCGGUAGGAACACCAGUGGCGAAGGCGGCUUUCUGGACUGAAACUGACGCUGAGGCGCGAAAGCGUGGGGAGCAAACAGGAUUAGAUACC